GCCGGGUGUGGUAGCGCGUGCCUGUAAUCCCAGCUACUCGGGAGGCUGAGGCAGGAGAAUCGCUUGAACCCGGGAGGUGGAGGUUGCAGUAAGCCCAUAUCGCGGCACUGUACUCCAGCCUGGGUCACAGAGUGAGACUCUGUCUCAA
Molecule: unclassified non-coding RNA, 148 nt
Organism: Macaca fascicularis (crab-eating macaque)
Lineage: Eukaryota; Metazoa; Chordata; Mammalia; Primates; Cercopithecidae
Rfam family: Metazoan signal recognition particle RNA
About the family: The signal recognition particle (SRP) is a universally conserved ribonucleoprotein.
Source: Ensembl